Molecule: unclassified non-coding RNA, 402 nt
Filed under: soil metagenome
Description: partial contains 5.8S ribosomal RNA, internal transcribed spacer 2, and large subunit ribosomal RNA
Rfam family: 5.8S ribosomal RNA (bases 1-121)
Source: RNAcentral
GAUGAAGAACGCAGCGAAAUGCGAUAAGUAAUGUGAAUUGCAGAAUUCAGUGAAUCAUCGAAUCUUUGAACGCACCUUGCGCCCUUUGGCUAUUCCGAAGGGCAUGCCUGUUUGAGUAUCGUGAACACCUCAACUCUCAUGGUUUGCCAUGAUGAGCUUGGACUUUGGGGGUUUUGCUGGCCUUUGGUCGGCUCCUCUCAAACGGAUCAGCUUUCCAGUGUUUGGUGGCGUCACUGGUGUGAUAACUAUCUACGCCUGUGGUUUUCUGCCAGAUAACCUUCAGCGAUGGAGGUUCGCUGGGGCUCAUAAAUGUCUCUCUUCAGUGGAGACAGCUUUUUGGACGUUUGAUCUCAAAUCAGGUAGGACUACCCGCUGAACUUAAGCAUAUCAAUAAGCGGAGGA